Molecule: long non-coding RNA, 2629 nt
Filed under: Triticum aestivum (bread wheat)
Lineage: Eukaryota; Viridiplantae; Streptophyta; Magnoliopsida; Poales; Poaceae
Description: long non-coding RNA (TAES_LNC013851)
Source: RNAcentral
UUAUAUUCUUCAUCAUUUCCCCCGCUCGUAAGGCCUGCAAUACAUUAUGCAUAAAGCUUGUCACUGCCAGAAAUGAACCGAACGCAUGUGUAGGAAUUUAUGAUAGAGUGCAUCAUACCCGUAGUAACGUCCUCUUUUGGUUGAUGUUCACCUGCCUUGCUUUUCGAAUUCCCCAUACGCACCUAUGGAAUGGCAGUUCACUGACAUUAAAUGACCAUUGCCUGAUGGCAAGAAUAUUUGAAAUAGCGGGGGUGGGAGUAGCAAGAUAACUAUACUAUGCAUGAUGUCCUCUAGAUGUUUUGCACGUGUCUAUAUGUAGUCAUCCUGUCUCCAUCUUAGCAAUGCUAUCAUAUGACAAACAGGGGUUGUGUUCUGGAAUUCAGUUAGCACUGCUUUGAUAAAUAUUUGAGAUAAAAAGAUUACCGAGCCUCACUUUGCUAAAUAUUUGAGAUCUUAUAAACAUAUUUGCAUAACUGUUGUUUUGUUGUUUCCAUGAAAUUCUGCACGUAGCGUCUUGAAGAGACCAAUCUAUAUUUAGCUGAGCUAUGCGAAGUUGCAACCCUCACUAUGUCCACGAGGGUGUUUAUAGUUUUUAUUACCAUGUGGAAACUUUGUGUAUGAAGUUAUGGCACCCCAAAUACUCCCCAUGUGUGCGCGCGCGCAUGCGGUGCCUAGGGUAGGUAGUAGAGUACUUCAUAUACCUGUACUAUUCAUGCUUCAACUUUGGGGUAGUUUUCAUGUGCAUACAACAUAUUGGACCUUGCAGGACCCUCUUGGCAUCCUGUUGCUGGAAAAAAACUACACAGCCGAAUCGUUUUUUUAUUUCUGAAACAAGAUUUCUAUUGCACAAGCCUUCUGAAACAGGAUAGUGUUUUCCAUUUCUUAAAGCUCAAAUCUUGUUGCGCAAAAUUGUAGAUCAAAAUUAGUGUCUGCAUGUCCUGGAUACCUAGCUAGCUAUGUUCCAGUUUGACAAUCAACUUUGUAGAUGCUCAGUUUGACAAAGUUUUUAUAAGAUGUUUAAUUUUUGGAUGGAACAAAAAAGGAAGCAUAGUUGAAAUGCAAUGCAAUCAGACUUGUAAAGGUCUUGCAUUGCACAAAAUGCUAAGGAUGAGGCCAGAAGAAGGUUCAAUGAAGUGAAAAAAUUACUCCUUACUUGGUCUGCAUGCAGUGAUCGACUACUGGUUUGCUUGUCAGGUUAGGCCAAAACAAAACGUUGUUGGUAAUUUUACGGUUUGUAACUGAUGCCCUUGCCACAAGAAAUUUAUUGAUGUCGCAAUUUUGUAGUCUAACCCUUCAGUCCUCAUAAGAAAUAAAAUAGACAUCUGAUUUGAACACUUGUACAUAUAUGUGUGCAAAACAGCUAAAUUAUGUACAGUAGGCCUCAAAAGAACAGUUACUUUUGCUGUUAAUUUGCAAGACAUUCUUAAUUUUGCCUCAAAAGAAUGACAAUUUUGUUACUCUCAGCAUUUAUUGUUGGUUACAAAUAGAGAAUUGGUAGUUGCUUAAAGAAAGACUAAAACCACAAGGUCACAUUUGAAGUUAUAGGUCGAUUUAGCGAGUCAUAAUAGACAAAAUAAUUUACUUAUCAUACUAAACUAUUGUGAUCUCGGUCCACACUUUUCGGAACCACUAUACUACCUAUUAGUUAAUUAGCAGCACGCUACUACCUAGAUGUAACUUUGUAGAUGCUUUUCUACUGUUAAUUGCAUCUUGCAUGAAUUUUUUGUUCUUCUUGCAGUUGUUCUGUUUCCCAUAGAAGCUGCAUCUUUCUAGAAGCUGCUACAUCAGAUUAAGUAAGUACACCCUGUUUGCCUAAAUUAUUGUUCAAGAGGCAGCUGAAACAAAAUUUCAUACACAGAAACAAUUAACAGGCAUUACCUUCAUUGUUAGCGUUGAUACUGCGCAUUACCUUGAGCAUGCGUUGGAUGUAAAUUUUUAUUGCAUGUAUGUGUCUAUCUAUAGUCCUCCUGUCAAUAUUACUGUCAACCUAGCUGUUCAUAUAAAGUGGAAAACACAGAGGGGGCGAGUCAAUACUAUGUUGAUAUAUAGCUGUUUUACGUUAUUACUCCCUCCGAUCCUAUAUAGCUGUUUUAUGUUUGAUUUCUUUUUCUGUAUUUUGUUGGAAAUCAUUUUGUUGUUCUUCCUGAUUUGUGUGUCGCCACUUUGCAGCCUGGGAAUGAAUCUCAUAACUUCUAUUCUGAUGAGCACUACCUGCCAACCUUAUUUAAUGUAAGCACUCAGAAGCUCCUAACCGUGUUCUUUUUCACUUUAGCCACCACUAAUAUAUACUGCUGUCGUGCCUGCAGAUGGUUGAUCCAACCGGAGUUGCGAAUUGGUCAGUGACACGUGUUGAUUGCUCUGAAGGAAAAUGACAUCCUAAAGUUUAUAGGGCUGUUGACACAAGCUUUGAACUGCUUAAAAGUAUAGCGGUGAGCUGAGCAUGCGUUGGAUGUAAAUUUUUAUUGCAUGUAUGAGCAUGCGUUGGAUGUAAAUUUUUAUUGCAUGUAUGAGCAUGGGUUGGAUGUAAAUUUUUAUUGCAUGUAUGAGCAUGGGUUGGAUGUAUGAGUUGGAUACCUUGAUCGUCUUCGGGGCCUGGAACGUAGGCGCCGGGCCCUGGAACCGGUCUCCG